This 192-nucleotide small nuclear RNA is filed under the name Oncorhynchus mykiss (rainbow trout). RNAcentral's name for it is "U2 spliceosomal RNA (ENSOMYG00000076156.1)". It matches the Rfam family "U2 spliceosomal RNA". From Rfam's summary of the family: U2 is a small nuclear RNA (snRNA) component of the spliceosome (involved in pre-mRNA splicing). Complementary binding between U2 snRNA (in an area lying towards the 5' end but 3' to hairpin I) and the branchpoint sequence (BPS) of the intron results the bulging out of an unpaired adenosine, on the BPS, which initiates a nucleophilic attack at the intronic 5' splice site, thus starting the first of two transesterification reactions that mediate splicing. The record is from RNAcentral. Lineage: Eukaryota; Metazoa; Chordata; Actinopteri; Salmoniformes; Salmonidae.
AUCGCUUCUCGGCCUUUUGGCUAAGAUCAAGUGUAGUAUCUGUUCUUAUCAGUUUAAUAUCUGAUACGUCCCCCAUCGGGGGACUACAUAUUAAAUGGAUUUUUCGAACAGGGAGUCGGAAAAUGGGGCUUGCUCCGUCCGCUCCACGCAUCGACCCGGUAUUGCAGUACCUCCGGGAACGGUGCAACACUU